Eriocheir sinensis (Chinese mitten crab) is the source of this 246-nucleotide long non-coding RNA. RefSeq lists it as uncharacterized. The transcript has 3 exons. The record is from RefSeq and is a predicted model, not a curated record. NCBI's taxonomy places the organism in Eukaryota, Metazoa, Arthropoda, Malacostraca, Decapoda, Varunidae.
CAGACCCGUGACUAGUGACCACGUCUGUGGUCCAAAUAAGCAUCAUGACCGGGAGAACGCGCUGAUUGGAAACCCUCCACAUUGACUCACGCCGCGGUGCCCCACCAAGAAUUGCUCCCCGUCACCAAGCCUUCAAGCAUCGCCACGCACCAGCGCACGGCCAGAGAGGCGUACCUGGUGGCGCCAUCAAGCAGAUUGGAUGAUGGAGUACUUAAUGUCGGUCUACGGACGUUCUCUGUGGCCUGG